Long non-coding RNA from Helianthus annuus (common sunflower), 1011 nucleotides. RefSeq lists it as uncharacterized. The transcript has 4 exons. The record is from RefSeq and is a predicted model, not a curated record. NCBI's taxonomy places the organism in Eukaryota, Viridiplantae, Streptophyta, Magnoliopsida, Asterales, Asteraceae.
AAUAGUAUAUUCCAUAUACUAUAUUUAAGCUAAAUAAGUUAAGCUAGAAAUGAGUAAAUAUAAUAUUUGAAGUAAAAGGUCUUUUUACAGGAUUUCAAAGUUUUAGAAAAAUAAGCGUAAAAUUGCCAUUUAUUAAAUUGUUUUUAAUAAAUUGGGUAUUUAUGUUACUUCAACAACUUUGCAAGGGUAUAUAUGAUAUUAAUAAUUUUGCAAGGGGAGUGUUGGAUGAAGUACGAUAACUUACCGAAUUGCUCUCUCGUAUCGAUCUGCAAAGGCGCUACUUGAAAUGCAAAACUGGAGAGCAUUGUUGGAGAAAGAUCAGCUGCGAGUCAAGCAAAGAAGGGGCCGCGUAUUCCGAGGAUGGAAUGAAGGGAAGAUAUACUUUCCGCCAACGUGUGUGACCGGAUACUAUGACAUGGUCGAGGUCUUCAUCAGUUAUCAUACGUGCGUGGCGAAUCAAGAUUUUCGGAUCAUAGGCCCGUGUACAGCAUAUUUUGGGUUGAGGUUCAAUCGGCCCAAAGCCGUUUUAGAAUAAGCAUGAGCUCUAGACUCGACUAUGGCGAGGCAUUGUUGCCAUACUCGCAUGGCUAUACCGAACUAUGCUUUUUUAACCGCCAACAAAACAAAUGGAACACACAAAGGCCGAUUUUCAUUCGUUAGGUUCGCGCCACAAAUCAUGUGUCAUCAUAUCUAACCAUCAGCUUCUGAUUGCGGCCCGCCAGCUCUCGCCACUAAACACGAGGUUACAAUGGCUUUGCCAUAUGCUGGUGCAUCAUAUCCUCAUCACACCACCAAAUGGGAGAUCAAGAUGAUGAUUUCUGUCAUUUUAUAAAUUUUAUUCAUGAUUCUUUGUAGAUUUGCCUCUAAUGAGUAAUAAAGUAUUUUUUAUCUCAAUGAGCGUGUUGUGAAGCGGCAUAAAUGAAAGUAAAUGUUUUGAGUUAGCUUAAAUUAUUGAAACCCAAAUAUUGUAGAUAUCGUUCUGUUUAACUCUGUGUAUGGAAUUGGUCAAUA